AGAAACUUAGGAUAACCCAUUAAACCAGGAGCCUUCAAAGCCCCAAACAAGAGAUAAGCCUCUUAGUUUCUG
RNAcentral lists this transfer RNA (72 nucleotides) under Macrochelys temminckii (alligator snapping turtle). RNAcentral's name for it is "tRNA-Trp". Lineage: Eukaryota; Metazoa; Chordata; Testudines; Chelydridae. The record is from RNAcentral.